RNAcentral lists this ribosomal RNA (538 nucleotides) under Termitomyces striatus f. bibasidiatus. RNAcentral's name for it is "eukaryotic LSU rRNA". It matches the Rfam family "Eukaryotic large subunit ribosomal RNA", at positions 52 to 589 of the family's 3401-position model. The record is from RNAcentral. Lineage: Eukaryota; Fungi; Basidiomycota; Agaricomycetes; Agaricales; Lyophyllaceae.
GGAGGAAAAGAAACUAACAAGGAUUCCCCUAGUAACUGCGAGUGAAGCGGGAAAAGCUCAAAUUUAAAAUCUGGUAGUCUUUGGCUGCCCGAGUUGUAAUCUAGAGAAGCAUUAUCCGCGUUGGACCGUGUACAAGUGUCCUGGAAUGGACUAUCAUAGAGGGUGAGAAUCCCGUCUUUGACACGGACUACCAAGGCUUUGUGAUGUGCUCUCAAAGAGUCGAGUUGUUUGGGAAUGCAGCUCUAAAUGGGUGGUAAAUUCCAUCUAAAGCUAAAUAUUGGCGAGAGACCGAUAGCGAACAAGUACCGUGAGGGAAAGAUGAAAAGAACUUUGGAAAGAGAGUUAAACAGUACGUGAAAUUGCUGAAAGGGAAACGCUUGAAGUCAGUCGCGUUGGCUGAGGAUCAACCUUGCUUCUUGCUUGGCUUACUCCUCAGUUGACGGGUCAGCAUCAGUUUUGACCGGUGGAUAAAGGCUAAGGGAAUGUGGCACCCUCGGGUGUGUUAUAGCCCUUGGUCAUAUACAUCGGUUGGGACUGA